GACGAACGCUGGCGGCGUGCUUAACACAUGCAAGUCGAACGAGAGCGUAGAGACAGCUUGCUUUUUCUACAAUCUAGUGGCAAACGGGUGAGUAACGCGUAAACAACCUGCCCUACGGAUGGGGACAACAGCUGGAAACGGCUGCUAAUACCGAAUACGUUCCGAAAGUCGCAUGACUAUCGGAAGAAAGGAUGGCCUCUAUUUAUAAGCUAUCGCCGGAGGAGGGGUUUGCGUCUGAUUAGCUAGUUGGAGGGGUAACGGCCCACCAAGGCGACGAUCAGUAGCCGGUCUGAGAGGAUGAACGGCCACAUUGGAACUGAGACACGGUCCAGACUCCUACGGGAGGCAGCAGUGGGGAAUCUUCCGCAAUGGGCGAAAGCCUGACGGAGCAACGCCGCGUGAGUGAAGACGGCCUUCGGGUUGUAAAGCUCUGUUAUACGGGACGAAUAAUCUUGUGGUUAAUACCCAUGAGAAGUGACGGUACCGUAAGAGAAAGCCACGGCUAACUACGUG
RNAcentral lists this ribosomal RNA (513 nucleotides) under uncultured bacterium. RNAcentral describes it as "partial 16S ribosomal RNA". It matches the Rfam family "Bacterial small subunit ribosomal RNA", at positions 28 to 507 of the family's 1533-position model. The record is from RNAcentral.